AUCUUCAGCAGCUUCAGUUCGUCGUGCAACAAUGGGUAUCUAUGGCAUUGCACUACUACUUACUGUACACUUAUCGCUGGAUCGAGCAUAGGUGUGCCAAUGGGUUCACCGGCUUCUAACUAUGGUAGUUCUUAAUAUCAGACUUCAAGGGCUGCGCCGUACGACGUAUGGAGCCCCCACUUGCUACAGUACAAAGGCGCCCGAGUACUACACCACAACAUAUGCGGCUCCUACUUACCACUCGGAGGCCCCGAAAUACUACGCCGCACCAAGCUAUUAUAUAACAAUGUACGCCACUCCAACAUACUACACCGCAGCUGCGCCGUCUUACUACGCUGAAGCUCCAAGUUACUACACAGCAGUUGCCCCUUCGUACUACGUGGAACCUAUAGCUACUACACCACAACUUAUGCUGCCCCGCUUUACUACACCGCAAAAACGCCAGAGUACUACGCUACCACUUACGCCGCUCCCAGGUACUACACCGAGGCUCCAGCUUAUUACACAACAACGUACGCCACUCUCAGCUAUUACCCUGAGCGACCAAAGUAUUAUUAAUUGUAAAAAUUGUGCUGUCCAUCAAGCUUGAUGACGGGAUGGUUAGGUCUUGUUUUAUUAUUUGCUGUCCUCGUUCCAAAAUGAGUUAUUACCCUGCCAUGUACGUAUUUAUCUAUAACUGGUCGUUGCAUACGUAUGUUGUUUCUAAAUGAGAUGUUGAAUACAGCCAUAAUGUCGUUACGGAA
Daphnia carinata is the source of this 743-nucleotide long non-coding RNA. RefSeq lists it as uncharacterized. The transcript is spliced from 2 exons. Lineage: Eukaryota; Metazoa; Arthropoda; Branchiopoda; Diplostraca; Daphniidae. The record is from RefSeq and is a predicted model, not a curated record.